This 419-nucleotide ribosomal RNA is filed under the name uncultured bacterium. RNAcentral's name for it is "bacterial SSU rRNA". It matches the Rfam family "Bacterial small subunit ribosomal RNA", at positions 355 to 774 of the family's 1533-position model. The record is from RNAcentral.
UGGGGAAUAUUGCGCAAUGGCCGCAAGGCUGACGCAGCGACGCCGCGUGGGGGAUGAAGCAUUUCGGUGUGUAAACCCCUGUUGCUCGGGACGAACAACGAGUUUCGACUCGUCUGACGGUACCGGGUGAGGAAGCACCGGCUAACUCCGUGCCAGCAGCCGCGGUAAUACGGAGGGUGCGAGCGUUGUCCGGAAUCACUGGGCGUAAAGGGCGCGUAGGCGGUCUGCUAAGCGUGUGGUGAAAGCUCGGGGCUCAACCCCGAGUCGGCCAUGCGAACUGGUGGACUAGAGCACUGUAGAGGCAGGUGGAAUUCCGGGUGUAGCGGUGGAAUGCGUAGAGAUCCGGAAGAACACCGGUGGCGAAGGCGGCCUGCUGGGCAGUAGCUGACGCUGAGGCGCGACAGCGUGGGGAGCAAACA